GCGGGGUGGAGCAGUUCGGUAGCUCGCUGGGCUCAUAACCCAGAGGUCGCAGGUUCAAAUCCUGUCCCCGCUACCA
This 76-nucleotide transfer RNA is filed under the name Marinitenerispora sediminis. RNAcentral's name for it is "Marinateneraspora sediminis tRNA-Met". It matches the Rfam family "tRNA". From Rfam's summary of the family: Transfer RNA (tRNA) molecules are approximately 80 nucleotides in length. Their secondary structure includes four short double-helical elements and three loops (D, anti-codon, and T loops). Further hydrogen bonds mediate the characteristic L-shaped molecular structure. tRNAs have two regions of fundamental functional importance: the anti-codon, which is responsible for specific mRNA codon recognition, and the 3' end, to which the tRNAs corresponding amino acid is attached (by aminoacyl-tRNA synthetases). tRNAs cope with the degeneracy of the genetic code in two manners: having more than one tRNA (with a specific anti-codon) for a particular amino acid; and 'wobble' base-pairing, i.e. permitting non-standard base-pairing at the 3rd anti-codon position. Lineage: Bacteria; Bacillati; Actinomycetota; Actinomycetes; Streptosporangiales; Nocardiopsidaceae. The record is from RNAcentral.